GCCGGGAUAGCUCAGCU
This 17-nucleotide transfer RNA is filed under the name Orthosia angustifolia. RNAcentral's name for it is "partial tRNA-Phe". RNAcentral also lists the same sequence under 3 other names. The record is from RNAcentral. Lineage: Eukaryota; Viridiplantae; Streptophyta; Magnoliopsida; Gentianales; Apocynaceae.